Molecule: long non-coding RNA, 610 nt
Filed under: Ananas comosus (pineapple)
Lineage: Eukaryota; Viridiplantae; Streptophyta; Magnoliopsida; Poales; Bromeliaceae
Description: long non-coding RNA (ACOM_LNC030922)
Source: RNAcentral
UAUUGACUUAGUGUAAUUAGUUUAAACAAAGACAGAUUACGUUUUUUUUCGAAUUCAGAACCUUUUACUCUGGUACUAUGUUAUUCUUCUAAAACAUAAAUUAACACUUUCUCGUAACGAACAGACCGUCCCUAGAGCAAGUACAAAGGGCUUGGUGGUUGGUACUCGAGACCUAAGUUCGAAUUCUAGUUGAUUCACAUUUUCAGCUAAUUUUAUUUUUAAAUAAAAUAAACGAAGCAGGUAGCGUGCUACCUAUCUCCCAAAAAAAAAAAAACACUUCCUCCUAAGAACCAACCGCACCUAAUGCAGUUCGCUAAGUGCUCAGUAGUUGAUAUCCGACAUCUUAAGUUUGAACCCUAUUGCUUCACAUUUCUAAGUGAGUUCAAUUCUAAAAAAAACUGCACGAAAAAAACCCUUCUGUUUGAUAUCAUGUACCAGUUAUGUAAAAUAAUUAUCAUUCUCUAAAAGUUUAAAUUAACAAAUCUAAAACUUUAAAUAUCAUAAAUGUCCCUCCAAAAUCUAAAAGUUUACAAAUACAUCCUUAAUCAUCCAAAACUAUCACUAACACUCCUAUAAACCUCAAUUUGGAGAAACUAUCACUAACACUCCU